This 253-nucleotide ribosomal RNA is filed under the name uncultured bacterium. RNAcentral describes it as "partial 16S ribosomal RNA". It matches the Rfam family "Bacterial small subunit ribosomal RNA", at positions 524 to 776 of the family's 1533-position model. The record is from RNAcentral.
UACAGAGGAUGCAAGCGUUAUCCGGAAUGAUUGGGCGUAAAGCGUCUGUAGGUGGCUUUUUAAGUCCGCCGUCAAAUCCCAGGGCUCAACUCUGGACAGGCGGUGGAAACUACCAAGCUGGAGUACGGUAGGGGCAGAGGGAAUUUCCGGUGGAGCGGUGAAAUGCGUUGAUAUCGUUAGGAACUCCGGUGGCGAAAGCGGCGUGCUGGAUCUCUUCUGACGCUGAGGCUCGAAAGCUAGGGGAGCAAACGGG